This 590-nucleotide ribosomal RNA is filed under the name Aureobasidium pullulans. RNAcentral describes it as "eukaryotic LSU rRNA". The stretch from base 214 to 367 matches the Rfam family "5.8S ribosomal RNA". The record is from RNAcentral. Lineage: Eukaryota; Fungi; Ascomycota; Dothideomycetes; Dothideales; Saccotheciaceae.
CUUCCGUAGGGGUAACCUGCGGAAGGAUCAUUAAAGAGUAAGGGUGCUCAGCGCCCGACCUCCAACCCUUUGUUGUUAAAACUACCUUGUUGCUUUGGCGGGACCGCUCGGUCUCGAGCCGCUGGGGAUUCGUCCCAGGCGAGCGCCCGCCAGAGUUAAACCAAACUCUUGUUAUUAAACCGGUCGUCUGAGUUAAAAUUUUGAAUAAAUCAAAACUUUCAACAACGGAUCUCUUGGUUCUCGCAUCGAUGAAGAACGCAGCGAAAUGCGAUAAGUAAUGUGAAUUGCAGAAUUCAGUGAAUCAUCGAAUCUUUGAACGCACAUUGCGCCCCUUGGUAUUCCGAGGGGCAUGCCUGUUCGAGCGUCAUUACACCACUCAAGCUAUGCUUGGUAUUGGGUGCCGUCCUUAGUUGGGCGCGCCUUAAAGACCUCGGCGAGGCCUCACCGGCUUUAGGCGUAGUAGAAUUUAUUCGAACGUCUGUCAAAGGAGAGGACUUCUGCCGACUGAAACCUUUUAUUUUUCUAGGUUGACCUCGGAUCAGGUAGGGAUACCCGCUGAACUUAAGCAUAUCAAUAAGCGGAGGAAAAAA